CCAUUGUGAAAGUGAAAUAGUCAGUGAAAAUGAAGAGGCAAAAAUUAUCGUAAAACCGAAAGAACUCGUCGAGCUGUGGCGCACAUACGCAGCCAACCACGAAUGGCAAAUUAAAUUUCCUUAUGGUCGAGACAAUAGUCGGAGUGAUUGAAGAGAUGGCGCCAACUUGCAUUCAGUUCUAUUGCUUAAUAUGAAUUUAUGUUUGAACCUAAAUUCCCUGUGACCGACACUUAUAGAAAAUGGAUUGAUGAAGCCAGUGUUGGGGAUAUUCACGGUUUAUAUACAAAUGGGCGAGGAUAUCACCCGGAGGGUAUGGCAAGAGUGUUUUGCAUAUAUUAAUAUGUUACUAAUGCUAUUAUGGCUAUGCAAUUCAGUCUCACUCCUGCGUCCUUCAGACUGGCUUUAUUUUCCAAGACGUAUGUGUCAAAUGGAUUUAAAAAGAGUCAUCAGGAAAAUAAAUUGACGUCCACGCUGAAAAUAAAAUACAGUUAAAUAUUUAACAUGACGAAUUUUCGUUUUGCCAAAAAGCAUGAGCAAUAAAUUGUCUCGCGUUUGAAUUUUGUCUAGACCAUGGUUGAAUACAAAAUGAGGUAUUAAUGGACGAGAUGAUGAAAACAAAUUGAGAAAUAAAAAAAAUUUAAGGGGAGAUAAUCGGAUAGAUCACGCACAGUAGGCGUACAUUGAUUGGUCUUGGUCCUUUUAUUCCACGCGUUUUUUUUUUCUUCUUUCAUUCGUUUCUUUCAUUUCUUCAUUCAUUCCUCCUCCACGUUAUUUCUCGUGUUCUCUAGAUACCGUCCCCAUGGGGAAUGAUAAUCGUGGGCACCUUUGGUAUGCGCAUUAAAAUACAACGGAGGCGCCUGAAACGAACACGUUUUGGGUUGGCACGUUUUGUACUCCAUGUACGCAUUGACAGGAUGAAAAUUGUCGUGCGCAUACCAAAGUGUUAAAUAUCUUCACUCAGAUAAAAAUUUAUUUGUCUAUGAACUCCAUUCAAUCCCGAGAAAUAUGUAUU
This is a long non-coding RNA of Fopius arisanus, 1012 nucleotides long. RefSeq lists it as uncharacterized. Lineage: Eukaryota; Metazoa; Arthropoda; Insecta; Hymenoptera; Braconidae. The transcript has 3 exons. The record is from RefSeq and is a predicted model, not a curated record.